Panaeolus papilionaceus is the source of this 118-nucleotide non-coding RNA. Lineage: Eukaryota; Fungi; Basidiomycota; Agaricomycetes; Agaricales. The record is from the annotation of a GenBank genome assembly.
GGCGAGAUGGCCGAGCGGUCUAAGGCGCCAGACUAAGGAGACCAGGACAUUCAGUGUGUCCAAACGUGUUCGAAACAUCUGGUCUUUCGGGACGUGGGUUCGAAUCUCACUCUCGUCA